AGCGUCUUGGCGCAGGGGAAGCGCGCAGGGCUCGUAACCCUGAGGUCGCAGGAUCGAAACCUGCAGACGCUA
Molecule: transfer RNA, 72 nt
Organism: Allomyces macrogynus ATCC 38327
Lineage: Eukaryota; Fungi; Blastocladiomycota; Blastocladiomycetes; Blastocladiales; Blastocladiaceae
Rfam family: tRNA
About the family: Transfer RNA (tRNA) molecules are approximately 80 nucleotides in length.
Source: Rfam